AGCCAAUGAUGUUAGAUAUUUUCCGUACCAUAUGAGAGAUCUACUCGUUGAUGAAUCUCUAAAAAAUUUCUGAGGUUG
Molecule: small nucleolar RNA, 78 nt
Organism: Papaver somniferum (opium poppy)
Lineage: Eukaryota; Viridiplantae; Streptophyta; Magnoliopsida; Ranunculales; Papaveraceae
Product: small nucleolar RNA snoR117
Exons: 1
Source: RefSeq, a predicted model, not a curated record